RNAcentral lists this ribosomal RNA (490 nucleotides) under uncultured bacterium. RNAcentral's name for it is "partial 16S ribosomal RNA". It matches the Rfam family "Bacterial small subunit ribosomal RNA", at positions 30 to 507 of the family's 1533-position model. The record is from RNAcentral.
AUUGAACGCUGGCGGCAGGCCUAACACAUGCAAGUCGAACGGUAACAGGAAGCAGCUUGCUGCUUCGCUGACGAGUGGCGGACGGGUGAGUAAUGUCUGGGAAGCUGCCUGAUGGAGGGGGAUAACUACUGGAAACGGUAGCUAGUACCGCAUAAUGUCGCAAGACCAAAGAGGGGGACCUUCGGGCCUCUUGCCAUCGGAUGUGCCCAGAUGGGAUUAGCUUGUUGGUGGGGUAACGGCUCACCAAGGCGACGAUCCCUAGCUGGUCUGAGAGGAUGACCAGCCACACUGGAACUGAGACACGGUCCAGACUCCUACGGGAGGCAGCAGUGGGGAAUAUUGCACAAUGGGCGCAAGCCUGAUGCAGCCAUGCCGCGUGUAUGAAGAAGGCCUUCGGGUUGUAAAGUACUUUCAGCGGGGAGGAAGGGAGUAAAGUUAAUACCUUGGCUCAUUGACGUUACCCGCAGAAGAAGCACCGGCUAACUCCGUG